CUUAGGCCUGCCCCGGACCUCGCGAGCUUCUGCUGAAUUGCCAUGGCUGAAAAAGAAAAACAAGUUCCUAAACUGCCUGUAUGGUAACCCCUCAGCACAAUUCCAGGUCUA
Molecule: long non-coding RNA, 111 nt
Filed under: Microtus ochrogaster (prairie vole)
Lineage: Eukaryota; Metazoa; Chordata; Mammalia; Rodentia; Cricetidae
Description: SPRY4-IT1 conserved region 2 (ENSMOCG00000006057.1)
Rfam family: SPRY4-IT1 conserved region 2
Source: RNAcentral